GACGAACGCUGGCGGCGUGCCUAAUACAUGCAAGUCGAGCGAAGUUUUUCUGGUUCUUGCACUAGAAAAACUUAGCGGCGCACGGGUGAGUCACACGUAAAGAACCUGCCUCAUAGACUGGGACAACUAUUGGAAACGAUAGCUAAUACCGGAUAACAGUAUUUCUCGCAUGAGAGAUAUUUAAAACUUGGUUAUGCUAACACUAUGAGACUUCUUUGCGGUGCAUUAGCUAGUUGGUGGGGUAAAGGCCCACCAAGGCGACGAUGCAUAGCCGACCUGAGAGGGUGAUCGGCGACACGGGGACUGAGACACGGCCCAGACUCCUACGGGAGGCAGCAGUAGGGAAUCUUCCGCAAUGGGCGAAAGCCUGACGGAGCAACGCCGCGUGAGUGAAGAAGGAUUUCGGUUCGUAAAGCUCUGUUGUUAGGGAAGAAUGGAUAUGUAGUAACUAUACAUGUAAGAGACGGUACCUAACCAGAAAGCCACGGCUAACUACGUG
Molecule: ribosomal RNA, 499 nt
Filed under: uncultured bacterium
Lineage: Bacteria
Description: partial 16S ribosomal RNA
Rfam family: Bacterial small subunit ribosomal RNA
Source: RNAcentral